CUGAGGGUUGUGUGUCGCAAUACUCCUAAGCUUGCGGCUGGUGAGGGGAAACUAGAGAGAUCUCAGUUAAAGUGGGACGACUUCCUUCUACAAAUCAUAACUCUCCCUAGAAAACUCCUGCUAAGAUGGGUGAGUAUUCAGCAGUCUAUGUGAGGACCUACGCAGCUGGCAUCACCCAAGAGAAAACUUUGGAAUUCUAGACCUGGAAAAGGACAUAUGAAUUGGAGGACCCGGCUGCUCCUGGAAUAGUCUUGGCCUUCCGAGAGAGAAUGGGUCGAGGAGGACUGGGCGGCGGAUGAGAGGAUAACGAACAAACCCGAGCUCUCCGUCAAUGUCCUGUUCCCCCCCGCCCCCCCCGCCCCGUGAAAUUGAAUCCCCUGUUAUGCCUUUUAAUAUUUUCUGCUAGGGAAUUCUAACAAGUUCAGACUUCAGUCAAAACCGAUGGGAUGAUGACCUCUGUACCUCUAAAAGUCCAGAAAAGCUAGCGCUUAGCGUCGUGUCUUAAGCUCUCCAGAAAUCGGCACAAAACUCCGCUGGCUUUAGCUGAAACUCAUUCCUGGAGAAGGCAGAAGGCAGGAGCAGAAUUCCUGAGCGGGUGGGAAGCAAUACCACAAUUGAAUUCCCCCUCUUCCACACCCUAUCUCCCUAUCUGAGCCACUGCCUAUAUUUCACCCAACUCCUGAGAGUCCAAAUCACUCCUUAUCAAGGGUUCCUGCCUUCAUUCAAAGGGCCCUUCUCCUUUUUCUUUCCUCAACCCUGUCCAUGGGAUUCUAUGUAGGACUAGUUUACCUUAUUCCCUUCUCUCUCCUUAAACCUCACACCUGGCUGCCAGCCAAGGGGCCAAAGGGACUAGAGAACUAUAUCUCCAGAGAAGGGAAAAGAUUUUCCAAGAUCUCUUAGAUUUGAAAGAUGCUUCACUCUUCAUGUCAGUAUCUAUACAAAGCCUGGCUGCCCUCUCCCAUCCACUCUCUAGAUUUGAGUUGGAUUUGUAGGUACCUAACAGUCACAAAACAGCUCAAGACUCUCCCCAUGUUAUGGAGCCCUGGGAAGAUCUGAUGAUAAAACUGGUUCUCCUCUUUCCCACCCCUACUGUGGUGGUGGUGGGGUAUCUAUCUCCAGGCAUCAAUCUCCUGAUCUGAAAAAGGAAGAGCCUGAAUUUCUAACAUCCUUUGGCUCCUAAACUUAAUCUACUCUUCACCACUUCCCAUGGAAGAUAAAAUGGUAGGCCCAGGUCAGACAGGUAUUCAAGUAACCUUCACAAAGUACAAUUUACAAAGGAUAUUUCCUUAAGAAUUAAAGGCUAAAAACUUAGGCUCCCUCAGUCCCUCAGUAGGCCUACUUUUAAAUGACAAAUAUCCUGAAGCCAGGAUUUUACUGGAAAUGUAAUUAAUUCACAGGCAGAAUCAGUAUCAUUGUCCUAAACUCUGGAUAUUGUGGGGGGGUGGGAUGGGAGGAAGGAAUAAAACUCUCAAUUCAGUCUAAUUCUACAAAGUUGCAUCUACACAGAUGAGCUGGAAAGGCAAGGUAACUAUCAGAAUUCUUAUUUCCCUUUCCCUUCAAAAAAAAAAGUUCUGAACAGUCUACCAUUAAGUAAGAAUAAGAGGUUUUAAAAUAUCUGAAUAGGUCCUUUAUAUCCCAAGGAUUUGGUGUCAGAGAAUUCCUGGCUCUGCUAUCCAUGAGAACUUGGGCAAGUUGCUUCACUAUUCUUGACUUGUUUUACCAAUUAAAAAAAACCACAAUAACACAAUGUAUUGUCCAUUUUAGCUUUCUGUAGGCAAGUUAAGAAAAAUAAAAUGUGACUUCUAGUCCUAAGAGUAAAUAAAUCAGCUGAAAAUUA
Phascolarctos cinereus (koala) is the source of this 1837-nucleotide long non-coding RNA. RefSeq lists it as uncharacterized. The record is from RefSeq and is a predicted model, not a curated record. NCBI's taxonomy places the organism in Eukaryota, Metazoa, Chordata, Mammalia, Diprotodontia, Phascolarctidae.